Molecule: ribosomal RNA, 390 nt
Filed under: uncultured bacterium
Lineage: Bacteria
Description: bacterial SSU rRNA
Rfam family: Bacterial small subunit ribosomal RNA
Source: RNAcentral
AUUGAACGCUGGCGGCAUGCCUUACACAUGCAAGUCGAACGGCAGCGCGGGGCAACCUGGCGGCGAGUGGCGAACGGGUGAGUAACAUAUCGGAACAUACCCUAGAGUGGGGAUAACGUAGCGAAAGUUACGCUAAUACCGCAUACGCACUAAGGUGGAAAGUGGGGGAUCUUCGGACCUCAUGCUCAUGGAGUGGCCGAUAUCUGAUUAGCUAGUUGGUGAGGUAAAGGCUCACCAAGGCGACGAUCAGUAGCUGGUUUGAGAGAACGACCAGCCACACUGGAACUGAGACACGGUCCAGACUCCUACGGAGGCAGCAGUGGGGAAUUUUGGACAAUGGGGGCAACCCUGAUCCAGCAAUGCCGCGUGAGUGAAGAAGGCCUUCGGGUU